UAUAUGUUACUACUACCUAUUGGAUAAGUAACUAAGAACUUUGUCGUUUAUUCCAUGUGAACAAAAUCCCUAAAAGCCCAUUUGUAAUAAUAUUCUUACUAAACACUGCUGAAAAAGGACUAAACUUCUGAGCUAUGAACGUAUAAUCCAGUAGCAUUAAGUAGCUUUUAUUUUCGGAACUUUAUUAACUACAAACUUGGCUAUUCAAACGGACUCUGAUUGAUUGCAAUAACGACAUACUCAGCCUGGGAUUUACUGUUUUUGUGUGGCUCGGCCAAGGCUCGGCUGGUGGUUCUAUGGUGUUAGAAAAUGAGCAACUUAAUUAUACACAACAAUGGGCAGCACCUCGAUCGGUUACAGCUCAUGAUCUUAUAUGCACAACAUGAU
Ostrinia nubilalis (European corn borer) is the source of this 387-nucleotide long non-coding RNA. RefSeq lists it as uncharacterized. The transcript is spliced from 3 exons. The record is from RefSeq and is a predicted model, not a curated record. NCBI's taxonomy places the organism in Eukaryota, Metazoa, Arthropoda, Insecta, Lepidoptera, Crambidae.